UCCUUCCACCAAUCACAUCGCUGUGCUUCUGUGACAACUGAACACAACUGGAAGUGAAAAACAACUCCUCAUUCAAAGGGGUUUAACGUUCCUUGUAGAUUCUGGAUAUUGGGCCUUUGUCAGAUGCAUAGAUUGCAAAAAUUUUCUCCCACUCUGCCAAAAGAGGAGUACAUCUGAACAGCAAUAGAGCAGAGGAAGAAACCCUAAGUCAUGUUGUAGCCUAAUACCAUGGAGUAGCACAGACUUUGAAACCAGGCAGAACCAGAACUUGAACAGAUCUCUUCAGAACCGGGAAAACAUCUCCUUUUGUUGACAUCACAUGAAGGUUGAAGUCCGCUGUCAGGACCAUGUUUAAGGAUCUCAAUUGCCAUGUGGAUAAGAAGUUCACUGUAAAACACGCAGGCCCUUCUGGAGGUGUCCAGAAGAAGGCAUUGUUAUCACAGGAGAUGACAGCCCCAUGCAUAUGACUGCCCCUGAAGACCUGGUGGGACAAGAUGUGGAGGUGGAAGAUAGUGAGACUGAUGAUCCUGAGCCCAUGUAGGCCUAGGCUGAUGUGUGGGUUUUUGUCUUGGUUUUUAACAAAAAAAAUGUAAAAAGUAAAAACAAAUUUAACAAAAUCAAAAACAGAAAA
Molecule: long non-coding RNA, 631 nt
Filed under: Homo sapiens (human)
Lineage: Eukaryota; Metazoa; Chordata; Mammalia; Primates; Hominidae
Description: HSALNT0346010
Source: RNAcentral